GAUGAACGCUGGCGGCGUGCCUAAUACAUGCAAGUCGAGCGAACGGACGAGAAGCUUGCUUCUCUGACUUUAGCGGCGGACGGGUGAGUAACACGUGGAUAACCUACCUAUAAGACUGGGAUAACUUCGGGAAACCGUAGCUAAUACCGGAUAAUAUUUUGAACCGCAUGGUUCAAAAGUGAAAGACGGUCUUGCUGUCACUUAUAGAUUGAUCCGCGCUGCAUUAGCUAGUUGGUAAGGUAACGGCUUACCAAGGCAACGAUGCAUAGCCGACCUGAGAGGGUGAUCGGCCACACUGGAACUGAGACACGGUCCAGACUCCUACGGGAGGCAGCAGUAGGGAAUCUUCCGCAAUGGGCGAAAGCCUGACGGAGCAACGCCGCGUGAGUGAUGAAGGUCUUCGGAUCGUAAAACUCUGUUAUUAGGGAAGAACAUAUGUGUAAGUAACUGUGCACAUCUUGACGGUACCUAAUCAGAAAGCCACGGCUAACUACGUG
RNAcentral lists this ribosomal RNA (497 nucleotides) under uncultured bacterium. RNAcentral's name for it is "partial 16S ribosomal RNA". It matches the Rfam family "Bacterial small subunit ribosomal RNA", at positions 28 to 507 of the family's 1533-position model. The record is from RNAcentral.